CGCGGCCUAUCAGCUUGUUGGUGAGGUAAUGGCUCACCAAGGCGACGACGGGUAGCCGGCCUGAGAGGGCGACCGGCCACACUGGGACUGAGACACGGCCCAGACUCCUACGGGAGGCAGCAGUGGGGAAUAUUGCACAAUGGGCGAAAGCCUGAUGCAGCGACGCCGCGUGAGGGAUGACGGCCUUCGGGUUGUAAACCUCCUUCAGCAGGGAAGAAGCGAAAGUGACGGUACCUGCAGAAGAAGCGCCGGCUAACUACGUGCCAGCAGCCGCGGUAAUACGUAGGGCGCAAGCGUUGUCCGGAAUUAUUGGGCGUAAAGAGCCCGUAGGCGGCUUGUCACGUCGGGUGUGAAAGCCCGGGGCUUAACCCCGGGUCUGCAUUCGAUACGGGCAGGCUAGAGUGUGGUAGGGGAGAUCGGAAUUCCUGGUGUAGCGGUGAAAUGCGCAGAUAUCAGGAGGAACACCGGUGGCGAAGGCGGAUCUCUGGGCCAUUACUGACGCUGAGGAGCGAAAGCGUGGGGAGCGAACAGGAUUAGAUACCCUGGUAGUCCACGCCGUAAACGGUGGGAACUAGGUGUUGGCGACAUUCCACGUCGUCGGUGCCGCAGCUAACGCAUUAAGUUCCCCGCCUGGGGAGUACGG
Molecule: ribosomal RNA, 643 nt
Filed under: uncultured bacterium
Lineage: Bacteria
Description: bacterial SSU rRNA
Rfam family: Bacterial small subunit ribosomal RNA
Source: RNAcentral